Molecule: ribosomal RNA, 468 nt
Filed under: uncultured bacterium
Lineage: Bacteria
Description: partial 16S ribosomal RNA
Rfam family: Bacterial small subunit ribosomal RNA
Source: RNAcentral
GACGAACGCUGGCGGCGUGCUUAACACAUGCAAGUCGAACGGAAAGGCCCUGCUUUUGUGGGGUGCUCGAGUGGCGAACGGGUGAGAAACACGUGAGUAACCUGCCCUUGACUUUGGGAUAACUUCAGGGAACUGGGGCUAAUACCGGAUAGGAGCUCCUGCUGCAUGGUGGGGGUUGGAAAGUUUCGGCGGUUGGGGAUGGACUCGCGGCUUAUCAGCUUGUUGGUGGGGUAGUGGCUUACCAAGGCUUUGACGGGUAGCCGGCCUGAGAGGGUGACCGGCCACAUUGGGACUGAGAUACGGCCCAGACUCCUACGGGAGGCAGCAGUGGGGAAUAUUGCACAAUGGGCGGAAGCCUGAUGCAGCAACGCCGCGUGCGGGAUGACGGCCUUCGGGUUGUAAACCGCUUUCGCCUGUGACGAAGCGUGAGUGACGGUAAUGGGUAAAGAAGCACCGGCUAACUACGUG